AUCGUUCAUUCUCAUUCUUGCUAGCCCACAAUACCAUCAACCGACAAUAAAGCGUUCAUGCACUCGCCAAGCGGCGAAGCGCCAAUGUCCAGCAGUCCCACGUUAGACAUACAUCUUUAUGAGUGAUAUGAUCUGACAUGAUAUGAUGACAUACAUGAUAUGAUCACUCACUCAUAAAUAUGUAUGUCUAACGUGAAACCACAGACCGAUUUGUUAAUGAUCCUUCCGCAGGUUCACCUACGGAAA
Molecule: unclassified non-coding RNA, 246 nt
Filed under: uncultured fungus
Lineage: Eukaryota; Fungi
Description: sequence contains ITS1
Source: RNAcentral